This 430-nucleotide ribosomal RNA is filed under the name Pseudomonadota bacterium. Its description in RNAcentral is "Proteobacteria bacterium partial 16S ribosomal RNA". It matches the Rfam family "Bacterial small subunit ribosomal RNA", at positions 355 to 776 of the family's 1533-position model. The record is from RNAcentral. Lineage: Bacteria; Pseudomonadati; Pseudomonadota.
UGGGGAAUAUUGGACAAUGGGGGGAACCCUGAUCCAGCCAUGCCGCGUGUGUGAAGAAGGCCUUAUGGUUGUAAAGCACUUUAAGCGAGGAGGAGGGUACUGGUAUUAAUACUACCAGGUACUGGACGUUACUCGCAGAAUAAGCACCGGCUAACUCUGUGCCAGCAGCCGCGGUAAUACAGAGGGUGCGAGCGUUAAUCGGAUUUACUGGGCGUAAAGCGUGCGUAGGCGGCUAAUUGAGUCGGAUGUGAAAUCCCCGAGCUUAACUUGGGAAUUGCAUUCGAUACUGGUUAGCUAGAGUGUGGGAGAGGAUGGUAGAAUUCCAGGUGUAGCGGUGAAAUGCGUAGAGAUCUGGAGGAAUACCGAUGGCGAAGGAAGACAUCUGGCCUAACACUGACGCUGAGGUACGAAAGCAUGGGGAGCAAACAGG